This 485-nucleotide long non-coding RNA is filed under the name Ananas comosus (pineapple). Its description in RNAcentral is "long non-coding RNA (ACOM_LNC029584)". The record is from RNAcentral. Lineage: Eukaryota; Viridiplantae; Streptophyta; Magnoliopsida; Poales; Bromeliaceae.
AUUUAGCCACUAUUAUAAAUAUAUCAUGAUUUGGUGCAGCAAAUGAGAGGGAGUAUGGGUGUAUUUUUUUGGGACUAAGAUUUUAUGAGAGAGGCAUAUUUUGUACACCACUUUGAUUAUAAUAAAGAUCUCUACAUCGUCUUCGCCUGUAGAUAUAGGCCAGUGGCCGAACUACGUAAAUAUUUGUAUCCUUUAUUUUUCUCCUCUCUUUCUCGAUUCUCUUUUGGUUUUCAUACCCAACAAACCAGAUUUUUUCCGCUUUUGUCAUAACAAACUGGUAUCAGAGAAAAUAUGGUAUCAAUAUAAGUUGCGGAUUCUGAACAAACUGGUAUCAGAGAAAAUCUGGUAUCAGUGUAAGCUGUAGAUUUUUAACACUCGAAAAAUAAAAAAAAAGCCAGUAUCGAUGAGCGAUAAAAAUUGGAAGGAGAUUGAUCUGCAAUUUGGUAGAUGAGAUAUGUACAAUGUAAUAAAGGAGAAAACUACAA